This 335-nucleotide ribosomal RNA is filed under the name uncultured Planctomycetales bacterium. RNAcentral describes it as "bacterial SSU rRNA". It matches the Rfam family "Bacterial small subunit ribosomal RNA", at positions 473 to 806 of the family's 1533-position model. The record is from RNAcentral. Lineage: Bacteria; Pseudomonadati; Planctomycetota; Planctomycetia; Planctomycetales.
CUAAGGCUCCAGAGGAAGCCACGGCUAACUCUGUGCCAGCAGCCGCGGUAAUACAGAGGCGGCAAGCGUUGUUCGGAAUUAUUGGGCGUAAAGAGCACGUAGGCGGCCUUGCAAGUCAGUUGUGAGAGCCUUCCGCUUAACGGAAGAAUGCCAGCUGAUACUACAGGGCUUGAGUACGGGAGGGGAGAGUGGAACUUCUGGUGGAGCGGUGAAAUGCGUAGAUAUCAGAAGGAACGCCGGCGGCGAAAGCGACUCUCUGGCCCGAAACUGACGCUGAGUGUGCGAAAGCUAGGGGAGCAAACGGGAUUAGAUACCCCGGUAGUCCUAGCCGUAAA